This 846-nucleotide ribosomal RNA is filed under the name uncultured bacterium. RNAcentral describes it as "bacterial SSU rRNA". It matches the Rfam family "Bacterial small subunit ribosomal RNA", at positions 35 to 886 of the family's 1533-position model. The record is from RNAcentral.
GCUGGCGGUGCGCCUUAUGCAUGCAAGUCGAGCGAAGCUUUUCAGUAGUUUACUACAGAAAAUGACUGAGCGGCGAACGGGUGAGUAACGCGUGAGCAAUCUACCUUAGUUACAGGGAUAGCCCGAGGAAACUCGGAUUAAUACCUGAUAUUCUUUACAUUUCGCAUGAAAUUAAAAGGAAAGGUCAGCCGAACUAAGAUGAGCUCGCGUUCUAUCAGCUAGUUGGUGAGGUAAAAGCUCACCAAGGCUACGACGGAUAGCUGGUCUGAGAGGACGAUCAGCCACACUGGGACUGAGACACGGCCCAGACUCCUACGGGAGGCUGCAGCAGGGAAUAUUGUGCAAUGAACGAAAGUUUGACACAGCGACACCGCGUGUGGGAUGACGGAUCUAGGUUUGUAAACCACUUUCAGGAGGGAAGAAAAUGACGGUACCUCCACAAGAAGCCCCGGCCAACUACGUGCCAGCAGCCGCGGUAAUACGUAGGGGGCGAGCGUUGUCCGGAUUUAUUGGGCGUAAAGAGCUCGUAGGCGGUUCAACAAGUCGGUCGUGAAAGUUCAGGGCUCAACCCUGAAAUGUCGAUCGAUACUGUUGUGACUAGGAUACGGUAGAGGUGAGUGGAAUUCCGAGUGUAGCGGUGAAAUGCGUAGAUAUUCGGAGGAACACCAAUUGCGAAGGCAGCUCACUGGGCCGCUAUCGACGCUGAGGAGCGAAAGCUAGGGGAGCAAACAGGAUUAGAUACCCUGGUAGUCCUAGCUGUAAACGAUGGAUACUAGACGUAGGAACUGGAUUGACGGUUUCUGUGUCGCAGCUAACGCGUUAAGUAUCCCGCCUGGGGAGUACGGU